GACUCUGUGUGUGUGUGUGUGUGUGUGUGUGUGUGUGUGUGUGUGUGUGCGCGUGUGUGUGUGCGUGCGCGCACGCACACAGGCCCGCACACCAG
This 95-nucleotide microRNA precursor is filed under the name Tursiops truncatus (common bottlenose dolphin). RNAcentral describes it as "miRNA (ENSTTRG00000023241.1)". The record is from RNAcentral. Lineage: Eukaryota; Metazoa; Chordata; Mammalia; Artiodactyla; Delphinidae.